This 1151-nucleotide long non-coding RNA is filed under the name Brassica napus (rape). RNAcentral describes it as "long non-coding RNA (BNAP_LNC005559)". Lineage: Eukaryota; Viridiplantae; Streptophyta; Magnoliopsida; Brassicales; Brassicaceae. The record is from RNAcentral.
AGGUCAUCAACGAUCUCCACCACCACAACAACCACAAGCACCACGCGGUUACGCAACAUCAUUACCUCCAAUAGCCAAACCAACUCCAUGGAGAAACGCUCCAACACCAUCACCGCAUCGCCGUGGUGGCCACCGGACGCCACCACCUUCAAGAGACCAAACAAACACAGCCACAUGGUCAGCUGCAUUCUGCUGUGCCAUCUUCUGGAUCAUUCUUAUCCUCAGCGGUCUAGUCGUCCUAAUCGUCUACCUAGUGUACCGUCCACGCUCUCCUCACAUCGACAUCUCAGCCGCUAACUUAAACGCCGCUUAUCUCGACAUGGGGUUUCUUCUAAACGGAGACCUAACCAUGUUAGCAAACUUCACAAACCCAAACAAGAAAAGCAGUGUAGAGUUCAGCUCUUUGACGUUCGAGCUUUACUACUACAACACUCUUAUAGCGUCUCAGUACGUUGAGCCUUUUAAGGUUCCUAAGAAAAUGUCCAUGUUUGCGAAUGUUCAUCUCGUGAGUAGUCAAAAUCCAAAUCAAGCCUCGUGAUCGCCACGGUAAACGACCAGUCCAAGAACCUCCUCAUUCCGUGAUACCUGUACCACUAAGACCAGAAGAGAGACUACCACCACGGGAAACUCCAAACUCUUCCAAAAUACCAGUACUAUCAAGCCCUGAAGAGAAACGACCACCACGGAAAAACCCAAACUCUGCUAAAAGACCGUUACUAUUAAGCCCUGAAGGUCAUCAACGAUCUCCACCACCACAACAACCACAAGCACCACGCGGUUACGCAACAUCAUUACCUCCAAUAGCCAAACCAACUCCAUGGAGAAACGCUCCAACACCAUCACCGCAUCGCCGUGGUGGCCACCGGACGCCACCACCUUCAAGAGACCAAACAAACACAGCCACAUGGUCAGCUGCAUUCUGCUGUGCCAUCUUCUGGAUCAUUCUUAUCCUCAGCGGUCUAGUCGUCCUAAUCGUCUACCUAGUGUACCGUCCACGCUCUCCUCACAUCGACAUCUCAGCCGCUAACUUAAACGCCGCUUAUCUCGACAUGGGGUUUCUUCUAAACGGAGACCUAACCAUGUUAGCAAACUUCACAAACCCAAACAAGAAAAGCAGUGUAGAGUUCAGCUCUUUGACGUUCGAGCUUUAC